RNAcentral lists this ribosomal RNA (902 nucleotides) under Platanus x hispanica. Its description in RNAcentral is "SSU rRNA". It matches the Rfam family "Eukaryotic small subunit ribosomal RNA", at positions 501 to 1409 of the family's 1831-position model. Lineage: Eukaryota; Viridiplantae; Streptophyta; Magnoliopsida; Proteales; Platanaceae. The record is from RNAcentral.
UCUUGCAAUUGGAAUGAGUACAAUUUAAAUCCCUUAACGAGGAUCAAUUGGAGGGCAAGUCUGGUGCCAGCAGCCGCGGUAAUUCCAGCUCCAAUAGCGUAUAUUAAAGUUGUUGCAGUUAAAACGUCCGUAGUCAAACUUUAGUCUUACUGGCGUAGUGGCCUGGUCUUCAUUGACCAAGCUCAUUGCUGCCGGAGACUCCAUGUUCAUUAGGGGAAAAUCUCUAGGGGUUUUUUUCUUAUUUGAACAAUUACCAUGAGCAAAUCAGAGUGUUUAAAGCAGGCUUUUAAGCUUGAAUGUGUUAGCAUGGAAUAAUGAAAUAUGACUUUAGUCCUAUUUUCGUUGGUUUAGGUACUUCAGUAAUGAUGAAUAGAAACGGUUAGGGGCAUUUGUAUUUGGUCGCUAGAGGUGAAAUUCUUGGAUUGACCGAAGACAAACUACUGCGAAAGCAUUUGACCCGGGACGUUUUCAUUGAUCAAGGUCUAAAGUUAAGGGAUCGAAGACGAUUAGAUACCGUCGUAGUCUUAACCACAAACUAUGCCGACUAGAGAUUGGGCGUGUUUAUUAUGACUCGCUCAGCAUCUUAGCGAAAGUAAAGUUUUUGGGUUCUGGGGGGAGUAUGGGACGCAAGGCUGAAACUUAAAGGAAUUGACGGAAGGGCACCACCAGGAGUGGAGCCUGCGGCUUAAUUUGACUCAACACGGGGAAACUCACCAGGUCCAGACAUAGUAAGGAUUGACAGAUUGAAAGCUCUUUCUAGAUUCUAUGGGUGGUGGUGCAUGGCCGUUCUUAGUUCGUGGAGUGAUUUGUCUGGUUAAUUCCGAUAACGAACGAGACCUUAUUCUGCUAAUUAGACAGGCCAACUCUUUCGGGUUGGUCUAUAUUAUAUAUUUCACUGGCUU